This is an RNA transcript of Zea mays, 2136 nucleotides long. It is a transcript of the gene named Transcription factor TCP4, with no coding region annotated. Lineage: Eukaryota; Viridiplantae; Streptophyta; Magnoliopsida; Poales; Poaceae. The record is from RefSeq and is marked validated. The transcript is spliced from 2 exons.
ACCUUUUGGUAGAGAGGUCCUAAUCUUUUUCUUUCUUCUCUUUUUUUUUUGUUGCUCCGAGAUCUUCUUUUCCUCCCUCCUCCUCCCCCGGCCAGUGUAAGAUUACCUAGCUGCACGCAGAGAGAUUGCCAAGAUAAGAUCUGCACUGCCGCCCUCUUUUGCUUGUCUCUUUCACUAAAGAGAGGCCGGCCAGCUGCAUGCACCCAGGCCACCAGCGCGCGCAGGAGCAGCUUGGUGUGGUUCUAUCUGCCUGCCCCUGCCUCCUGCGGACGGAGUCCUUGUGCUUGUGGACGGUGUGGGGUUGGUUUCCCAACUCCCUUCCCUUCCCACCAUAUAUGGCCAUUAAAUCUUUUUCCUCGACAUGGGCAGCCGAGUGAGAGCUUUGGAGUACGGGGGAGCUAGCGAAUCGCAUGCGGUCGAAACAGUUCGGUCUCUCCAAUUAACUAGGGAGUGCGGAAGUGAGUACGCUCAAGCUGGAGGAGGACAAGAACCAGUUGUCCAAGGGCUUGGACCCUUGGAGCAACCCUACCGCCGCCACCAGCACCCUGCACUACCUGCUCCAGGAGAAGGAGAGAGCGCAGGCGCAUGAGCAGCUCCAGAUCUACCACCAGCAAGGAUUCAGCUACCUCCAGCACCGCCGGAGGCAGCAGCAGCAGCAGCAGCAGCCGAGGGCUGCAGGAGCUGGCAGUGAUGGCGUCAGCAGCGGCGAGUCGACGCCCGUGGACGCCCUGGCGACCGCAUUCGGGAGCGGCCGCAUCGUGCGGUCUGCCGCCGGGCGCAAGGACCGCCACAGCAAGGUGUGCACCGCGCGCGGGCUGCGCGACCGCCGUGUCCGCCUCGCCGCGCACACGGCCAUCCGGUUCUACGACGUGCAGGACCGGCUAGGCUACGACCGCCCCAGCAAAGCCGUCGACUGGCUCAUCCGUAACGCUAAGGCCGCCAUCGACGAGCUUUCGGCCGACCGGGAAGAGGGGCAGCCUGCCGCGGAGGCAGCGGAUGCCACUACUACCGAGCCGGCCGAGCAGGUGACCUCGACGUCCUACGGGUUCGCCAUCGGUGGUGUGGCCGGCUCCUUCAUGCCACAUUCGGUCGGUGCCGAUGACGUCUCCGGCUCCGGCUCCGGCUCCGGCUCCGGCAACGUCAAGUCUUUGUUCCCCUCGUCGUCGACAACGAGCACUACCCCCACCCAGGACGAGUACAGGGGCUCCCCGCCGGACCUUCUGUCGCGCACGACCAGCAGCAACCAGCCUCAGGAGCUUUGCCUCACUCUCCAGUCUACCAAUAACCACCACCACCAGCAGCAGCAGCAGCAGCAGAUCUUCAGCCAUGUGUCCCCGAACCACCACGGUAGUAUGAUCUCCGUUGCAGGCGUCCAAGGCUGGCCGGAGGCGCACGGCCAGAGAAUGCCGCCGUGGCAUGCUCCAGAGAACAGCGGCGCGGGAGACGACGGGCGCGGGGCCGCCGGAAAUGGCGACAGUUACAUGUUCGGCGUGCCCGGCCCACGGCAAGGGUUAGACCACCUGCAGGGCCAGCUGAUCUUCUCCCAAGGGGAACCCCUUCAGUCCAGUGGCGGCGGCUGGCCGUCGUCGUCUGCCCGCGCUUGGCUCGACCCCCUCGUCGCGAUCCACCAGCACCAGCCGUCGACGAUGUCCGGGCAGGUCGGCUUCGGUCAUCUGGUUGGCGGCGCCGGAAGCGGGUUUAUGGGGUUCCUCGCGCCGCCGGCCCAGCGGCUGCAGCUGCAGAGCGAGGACGAGCAAGGAAGCGAAGCAAUGAGGGAGUGAUGAGCGUGAUUAGCUACUACUGCUGAGGUACGGUGUGCGAGCUUACCACGCACUGCUCUCCAUUGAUCUGCUCAGUUAUAUGUCAUUGUCAUUUCAUGUAGGAGUUUGUUUAGGUGAUGGAAUUUCGCAUCAUUAAUUAUUAGCUGCUGCAAUAUUCAAUCAUGCCUCUGUAUAAGUCGUCCUUGGAACCUGACAGCGUUACUGUUACAUUAGUGGCUACUACUACGUACUUUUGUUUUUUUAUUUCAUUCUUUUUUUUUCCAUUUCAUGGUUGUCAACAUGGAUAAGAUGUGUGGUGAUGAUGAGAUAGACGGGACGAGAUGUGAUCUCGAUGGGGUUUCCCCUCUUUGGACCA